AACGCUGGCGGCGUGCUUAACACAUGCAAGUCGAACGAACCUUCGGGUUAGUGGCGGACGGGUGAGUAACGCGUGAGAAUCUGCCCUCAGGAGGGGGAUAACAGCUGGAAACGGCUGCUAAUACCCCAUAUGCCGCGAGGUGAAAUGAAUUUCGCCUGAGGAUGAGCUCGCGUCUGAUUAGCUAGUUGGUGUAGGUAAUGGCUCACCAAGGCAUCGAUCAGUAGCUGGUCUGAGAGGAUGAUCAGCCACACUGGGACUGAGACACGGCCCAGACUCCUACGGGAGGCAGCAGUGGGGAAUUUUCCGCAAUGGGCGAAAGCCUGACGGAGCAACGCCGCGUGAGGGAUGAAGGCCUCUGGGCUGUAAACCUCUUUUAUCAAGGAAGAAGAUCUGACGGUACUUGAUGAAUAAGCCACGGCUAAU
This 423-nucleotide ribosomal RNA is filed under the name uncultured bacterium. Its description in RNAcentral is "bacterial SSU rRNA". It matches the Rfam family "Bacterial small subunit ribosomal RNA", at positions 32 to 501 of the family's 1533-position model. The record is from RNAcentral.